RNAcentral lists this ribosomal RNA (253 nucleotides) under uncultured bacterium. RNAcentral describes it as "partial 16S ribosomal RNA". It matches the Rfam family "Bacterial small subunit ribosomal RNA", at positions 524 to 776 of the family's 1533-position model. The record is from RNAcentral.
UACGGAGGGGGCUAGCGUUGUUCGGAAUUACUGGGCGUAAAGCGCACGUAGGCGGAUGUUUAAGUCGGGGGUGAAAUCCCGGGGCUCAACCCCGGAACUGCCUUCGAUACUGGAUGUCUGGAGUCCGAGAGAGGUGAGUGGAAUUCCCAGUGUAGAGGUGAAAUUCGUAGAUAUUCGGAGGAACACCAGUGGCGAAGGCGGCUCACUGGCUCGGUACUGACGCUGAGGUGCGAAAGCGUGGGGAGCAAACAGG